UUUUGCUUAGCUUAUCAACUCAAAGCAUGGCUUUGAAGGUGCCAAGAAAGUAGAAUACUAGCAAAAA
Molecule: transfer RNA, 67 nt
Filed under: Oxylipeurus chiniri
Lineage: Eukaryota; Metazoa; Arthropoda; Insecta; Psocodea; Philopteridae
Description: tRNA-Phe
Source: RNAcentral